Molecule: ribosomal RNA, 637 nt
Filed under: Teluroides sp. NLG-2014
Lineage: Eukaryota; Metazoa; Arthropoda; Insecta; Coleoptera; Scarabaeidae
Description: eukaryotic LSU rRNA
Rfam family: Eukaryotic large subunit ribosomal RNA
Source: RNAcentral
GAGUCUAGCAUGUGCGCGAGUCAUUGGGACUCUAACGAAACCUAAAGGCGCAAUGAAAGUGAAGGUCCGCCUUGCGCGGACCGAGGGAGGAUGGGUGGUCCUGUGGGGCCGCCUCGCACUCCCGGGGCGUCUCGUUCUCAUCGCGAGAUGAGGCGCACCCAGAGCGUACACGCUGGGACCCGAAAGAUGGUGAACUAUGCCUGGUCAGGACGAAGUCAGGGGAAACCCUGAUGGAGGUCCGUAGCGAUUCUGACGUGCAAAUCGAUCGUCGGAACUGGGUAUAGGGGCGAAAGACUAAUCGAACCAUCUAGUAGCUGGUUCCCUCCGAAGUUUCCCUCAGGAUAGCUGGCGCUCGCUUCUCGCGAGUCUCAUUCGGUAAAGCGAAUGAUUAGAGGCAUUGGGGUCGAAACGGCCUCAACCUAUUCUCAAACUUUAAAUGGGUGAGAUCUCCGGCUUGCUUGAACUGUGAAGCCGCGAGAUAUCGGAUCAGAGUGCCAAGUGGGCCACUUUUGGUAAGCAGAACUGGCGCUGUGGGAUGAACCAAACGCCGAGUUAAAGCGCCUAAAUCGACGCUUAUGGGAUACCAUGAAAGGCGUUGGUAACUUAAGACAGCAGGACGGUGGCCAUGGAAGUCGGA